CUUGAAAUUACAUGUGCGAGCAGUAACUGAAAAAUGACAUGGCUUUCAUCAUUAAGUCAGCGAAAACUAUUCGGACCCACUGGAAGAAAUCAACAUUUGGUGCAUGUCUGUGUGUGUAUGGAAUUCAAUUUGCUAAAGAAAAAAGGGCAGAGGAGUUGAUCAGGAGGGCAUUCUGUGCAGAGGCAGUGGAAUAUGGCAGUAAAAUCCUAGGAUUUAACGAGAAACCACGUCGAGUGACUGUCUUCCUCAACCCUGCAGUGAAAGGAGGAAAGGGGACCAAACUAUUCACCAAGACUGCUGCCCCCAUCUUGUAUCUGGCUGGGAUGGAGGUGAACGUUGUCAAGACGGAGUAUGAAGGUCAAGUAAAGGAGUUUAUCAAGGUCUUGGAGUCCCAGGACACCGACGCCAUCAUCAUUGCCGGAGGUGACGGCACUCUGCUGGAGGCUGUCACAGGCUUGAUGAGGAAAGAAGACAAGCACUUCCGGAACAAUAUACCUGUUGGAGUUAUCCCCCUUGGCAAGACAAAUCGGUUUGCCAAGUUGCUGUUUGGAACCGAUCUGAAUCAAGUCAGACUAAUUGCCGAGUCUGCCAUGGCGAUCAUCAAGGGAGAGACGAGCCAGUUUGACGUGAUGAAGAUAGAGGGGGAGGAGGGCAAGACCACGUAUGCUGUGUCCGGCCUGGAGGUGGGGCUCUACCGAGAUGCUGAGCAGAGGAAGCUGAAGAACUGGUAUUUCGGUCCACUGAAGCACUACUGGACAUACAUCCGGACCACUCUGAGGAACGACUGGCCGGCCACCUUCAAUGGGAAGAUGACAUACGUGGAGGCCACACCAGAGAACACCAAACUCGUGGCUCCCAAAGUGGAAGCGCCGCCGAAGUCCCGGACGUGGAGCUGGCUGGGUUUGCUGUACAACCAGUCCCCUAAACCUCCUGUGGCAACAAGUGACUUUGUCAUGGACAGCUCUGCAGAUGCUGAACAGGAGAGAGAUAUCUCUGCAGUCGAGCUUACCAUCAUGUCUUCCAAUUACAAGAAAGAGAAUGCAGUCCCAUCAUUAGCGGUUGGCAUUGGACCUAAAGAACCUGGCCGACAGGAGUUAAUAUCGGAAGGAUGGAGGAGAGUGAAGGAAAGGGACACAACUCUUCCCCUGGGAACAGACUCCAAUGAACAGAUACAUGUGAAAUCUCUGCAUCUUGUGCCUGAUGAAGAAACUUGCGAAGGUCAGUGGUUCAACAUCGACGGGGAGGCCUUUGAGGCAAUGCCAAUCACAAUCAGCCUGCUGCGCAACAAGCUGCGCGUCUACUCCCAACCCGUCUCGGUCACAUGAUGUUCAUCUUGUCCUAGUUCUCUAACUUACGGAAUGACACGGAACAGGUGCACCUUGAAAUGUGAACAACUGAUGUCCAAUAUAGCCUCAGGGGGAUGUCAGAGGUCACCAGGAAGACCUGUGUGCAUAUCUUGUGUUGAUAUGUGAUUGUACAGAAUAUCUCAUGAAGGAUUGUUGUGGAAGGCAGAGAGAUUAUCAUACAUUAUCUAUACUGGUGUGUGUAGGUACAAGCUGUUGGCCUACAGCAGUCUCUAUACUGGUGUGUGUAGGUACAAGCUGUUUGCCUACAGCAGUCACGAUACUGGUGUGUGUAGGUACAAGCUGUUUGCCUACAGCAGUCUCGAUACUGGUGUGUGUAGGUACAAGCUGUUUGCCUACAGCAGUCUCUAUACUGGUGUGUGUAGGUACAAGCUGUUUGCCUACAGCAGUCUCGAUACUGGUGUGUGUAGGUACAAGAUACUUGUGUGUCUAUAUGUGUGUUGUAGCCCUGCAAAAAUAUGCAUAGAUAAUUUAGUGUGAUUACUGUGAAAAAAUACAAAACUCAACGUUUCUUUUUCAGUAAUGAUUUACUUUAAAACUGUGUAUGUAUACAAUAUCAACCAUUAAAUAUGAGUAUGAUUUGAAGCAUUGCACAAAUUGGUAUGGAAGUCGGCGUCAUGGUAAGAGUACAACAGGCACCAUUUGUACAUAGUAUACAAAAUACAUCUCAGUAAAAUAAUACACAAGGUCAUGCUACUCUGUCAUGUUUGGGACGUCAAGUGAAGACUAUACUCUUGGUGUCUACUUCUCAAAACAAGUUCAAGGACACUAUAUUAACGGUAUUAUGGUAAAUC
This 2158-nucleotide unclassified non-coding RNA is filed under the name Haliotis rufescens (red abalone). RNAcentral's name for it is "acylglycerol kinase, mitochondrial-like, transcript variant X1". Lineage: Eukaryota; Metazoa; Mollusca; Gastropoda; Lepetellida; Haliotidae. The record is from RNAcentral.